CAGAGCUUUGGCAACUGUGAGCCAAGGGCGGUAGCUUG
RNAcentral lists this non-coding RNA (38 nucleotides) under Dickeya solani. RNAcentral describes it as "JUMPstart". It matches the Rfam family "JUMPstart RNA". The record is from RNAcentral. Lineage: Bacteria; Pseudomonadati; Pseudomonadota; Gammaproteobacteria; Enterobacterales; Pectobacteriaceae.